AGACCCGAAACCCGGUGAUCUAGCCAUGGGCAGGUUGAAGGUUGGGUAACACUAACUGGAGGACCGAACCGACUAAUGUUGAAAAAUUAGCGGAUGACCUGUGGCUGGGGGUGAAAGGCCAAUCAAACCGGGAGAUAGCUGGUUCUCCCCGAAAGCUAUUUAGGUAGCGCCUCGUGAAUUCAUCUCCGGGGGUAGAGCACUGUUUCGGCUAGGGGGCCAUCCCGGCUUACCAACCCGAUGCAAACUGCGAAUACCGGAGAAUGUUAUCACGGGAGACACACGGCGGGUGCUAACGUCCGUCGUGAAGAGGGAAACAACCCAGACCGCCAGCUAAGGUCCCAAAGUCAUGGUUAAGUGGGAAACGAUGUGGGAAGGCCCAGACAGCCAGGAUGUUGGCUUAGAAGCAGCCAUCAUUUAAAGAAAGCGUAAUAGCUCACUGGUCGAGUCGGCCUGCGCGGAAGAUGUAACGGGGCUAAACCAUGCACCGAAGCUGCGGCAGCGACGCUGAUGCGUUGUUGGGUAGGGGAGCGUUCUGUAAGCCUGCGAAGGUGUGCUGUGAGGCAUGCUGGAGGUAUCAGAAGUGCGAAUGCUGACAUAAGUAACG
Molecule: ribosomal RNA, 604 nt
Filed under: Salmonella enterica subsp. enterica
Lineage: Bacteria; Pseudomonadati; Pseudomonadota; Gammaproteobacteria; Enterobacterales; Enterobacteriaceae
Description: partial 23S ribosomal RNA
Rfam family: Bacterial large subunit ribosomal RNA
Source: RNAcentral